This 212-nucleotide ribosomal RNA is filed under the name uncultured bacterium. Its description in RNAcentral is "partial 16S ribosomal RNA". It matches the Rfam family "Bacterial small subunit ribosomal RNA", at positions 1288 to 1500 of the family's 1533-position model. The record is from RNAcentral.
UCAUUCGGAUUGUAGUCUGCAACUCGACUACAUGAAGCUGGAAUCGCUAGUAAUCGCGAAUCAGAAUGUCGCGGUGAAUACGUUCCCGGGUCUUGUACACACCGCCCGUCACACCAUGGGAGUCGGGAAUGCCCGAAGUCAGUGACCCAACCGGAAGGAGGGAGCUGCCGAAGGCAGGCUCGAUAACUGGGGUGAAGUCGUAACAAGGUACC